This 497-nucleotide ribosomal RNA is filed under the name uncultured bacterium. Its description in RNAcentral is "partial 16S ribosomal RNA". It matches the Rfam family "Bacterial small subunit ribosomal RNA", at positions 28 to 507 of the family's 1533-position model. The record is from RNAcentral.
GAUGAACGCUGGCGGCGUGCCUAAUACAUGCAAGUCGAGCGAACAGACGAGGAGCUUGCUUCUCUGACGUUAGCGGCGGACGGGUGAGUAACACGUGGAUAACCUACCUAUAAGACUGGGAUAACUUCGGGAAACCGUAGCUAAUACCGGAUAAUAUUUUGAACCGCAUGGUUCAAUAGUGAAAGACGGUCUUGCUGUCACUUAUAGAUGGAUCCGCGCUGCAUUAGCUAGUUGGUAAGGUAACGGCUUACCAAGGCAACGAUGCGUAGCCGACCUGAGAGGGUGAUCGGCCACACUGGAACUGAGACACGGUCCAGACUCCUACGGGAGGCAGCAGUAGGGAAUCUUCCGCAAUGGGCGAAAGCCUGACGGAGCAACGCCGCGUGAGUGAUGAAGGUCUUCGGAUCGUAAAACUCUGUUAUUAGGGAAGAACAUAUGUGUAAGUAACUGUGCACAUCUUGACGGUACCUAAUCAGAAAGCCACGGCUAACUACGUG